This is a long non-coding RNA of Ictalurus punctatus (channel catfish), 1317 nucleotides long. The record is from Ensembl. Lineage: Eukaryota; Metazoa; Chordata; Actinopteri; Siluriformes; Ictaluridae.
UUAAUUACCGGUCUAAUGCUUUCGGCUAUUUCUCACGGAACAACGAGACUCAGGUUACUAGCGUUUUGAAACGUUAUUGACCAAGUCAGUAGGGGUGGGUUGGUGUAGAGAAAGGAAGAGGAAGAAAGUCAGAAAAAGCAGCCUGAGUGCGAAACUCAGAACUUGCUAACACAUCAGUGCUCAGCUAUCUAAUUCGAUUCUUUUUCGGAAGGAAAACUUGGCAGGUGUGAAUUUAAUAUGAAGCGUCUAUUUUCGUUUGGCGGCAAAGGACGAAGCCAAUGAGGGCUACCCACGAGAUACAGUCUAGAGGACAUUAUUUCAACAUUUCAGGGUCUGGAAGACGCUUAGGGUUCCCAUAUCCUCUGGAUGACUGAAGGACAUAGCAGUGGAUUCUGACAUGGACUGUGCAGAGGUCAAAGGUCAAAUCCCAGCGGAGGAACAGCUGGAGCCACUGGUUAUCCUCGAGGAAGGGGACGAGCUGGACGAUUUCACACAUAUCUCUGCGAGAGGGAAAGGCGUACUAAGAGUGAAGAAGGAAAACAUGGAAGACAUGAUUAAGGGAAGUUCGGAGGGAAGUACAGAUUCUGAAAACGAUGUGGAAGUGGAAAGUCAGCAAAAGGAAGGGCUGGAAUACAUAAACCAAAAGAUCGAGGGAGUGACAGAAACCGAGGAGAACCCAGAAGUGAAAAUAGUCCAAACCAGACCUGGAUUAGUGAUGGGGAAGGCAGAAGAAGAGAUGGAGGGAUUGAAGACAAAAGCAGUGCCUAAAGAAGAGUCACUUGCUGAUAGCCAGCCUUCUGCCAAACUACGACCCAGGGACCGACUCAGUCCUGAAGAUGCUCAGCAAAAGGUCCACAGAUUAUCCCCAGAUUCUCCUGACGCUCUCUACGAGCUACUUUGCGCUUUGCAAGAGGGCCGUCGGCUCAACGACCAGCGCUGCUCCUUCACACUGCAGCCACGCCGGAGGUGCCACUCGGAGCCUGGAACCCCACGCCACAACCAUAAAGGAGUCUAUGGCAGCCCUAUGAACUGUAAGUAGAAAAAUGAUUAAAUUUGGCACAAUCAUAGAUAUGACCAUGAAUAGUAUCUGGACCAGUUAUGGGUUCUCUAUGACCAACUCUAUAGCGCCACCACUAGUUCAAAAAUUCACUUUUCAAAUGGUUGUAAUUGUUGAACACUUUUUCCUAGAGAAAUUUAGUUCAUCAGAUUACUCUCCUCACGGUGAUCACAAAUCAUAUCUUACAUUUAAGACUCCACCCAUUACAGCAGUCACCAUUUUGAAAUGUACAGUAUUCAGUUUUUUUGCUACUCCUUGUU